AGAAGCUACGCGCAGAAGAAGUUGAACAUGAAGACUUAGUUACCCUUUCUGCACCACCUGAAAUAUCUGAUUUACUCUGAUCUUGAAGUAUCACUGGUGCUGAUUUUCUUUCCCUAUUUCUAUUCCUCUCCUUGAAGUAAAAAAAACACUUCAUUUUCCCCCUCUUCACAGAAUUUCCAAGAUUCAAUUUUUUAAACUCCCACAGUCAAUGAACAGCCACUAAACUCCCAGAUAGGAAAUGGGGUUUUCUUGGUUGGUU
Molecule: unclassified non-coding RNA, 259 nt
Filed under: Hevea brasiliensis (rubber tree)
Lineage: Eukaryota; Viridiplantae; Streptophyta; Magnoliopsida; Malpighiales; Euphorbiaceae
Source: RNAcentral